UACGAAGGGGGCUAGCGUUGUUCGGAUUUACUGGGCGUAAAGCGCACGUAGGCGGAUUGUUAAGUCAGGGGUGAAAUCCCGAGGCUCAACCUCGGAACUGCCUUUGAUACUGGCAAUCUUGAGGCUGGAAGAGGUUGGUAGAAUUCCCAGUGUAGAGGUGAAAUUCGUAGAUAUUGGGAAGAAUACCAGUGGCGAAGGCUGCCAACUGGUCCAGAUCUGACGCUGAGGUGCGAAAGCGUGGGGUGCAAACAGG
RNAcentral lists this ribosomal RNA (253 nucleotides) under uncultured bacterium. RNAcentral's name for it is "partial 16S ribosomal RNA". It matches the Rfam family "Bacterial small subunit ribosomal RNA", at positions 524 to 776 of the family's 1533-position model. The record is from RNAcentral.